AUUGAACGCUGGCGGAAUGCUUUACACAUGCAAGUCGAACGGCAGCACGGACUUCGGUCUGGUGGCGAGUGGCGAACGGGUGAGUAAUGUAUCGGAACGUGCCCAGUCGUGGGGGAUAACGUAGUGAAAAUUACGCUAAUACCGCAUACGAUCUAUGGAUGAAAGCGGGGGAUCGCAAGACCUCGCGCGAUUGGAGCGGCCGAUAUCAGAUUAGGUAGUUGGUGGGGUAAAGGCCCACCAAGCCAACGAUCUGUAGCUGGUCUGAGAGGACGAACAGCCACACGGGAACUGGGGCACGGUCCAGACUCCUACGGGAGGCAGCAGUGGGGAAUUUUGGACAAUGGGCGAAAGCCUGAUCCAGCCAUUCCGCGUGCAGGAUGAAGGCCCUCGGGUUGUAAACUGCUUUUGUACAGAACGAAAAGGUUUCUACUAAUACUAGGAGCUCAUGACGGUACUGUAAGGAUAAGCACCGGCUAACUACGUGCCAGCCGCCGCCGUAA
This 500-nucleotide ribosomal RNA is filed under the name uncultured bacterium. RNAcentral's name for it is "partial 16S ribosomal RNA". It matches the Rfam family "Bacterial small subunit ribosomal RNA", at positions 30 to 523 of the family's 1533-position model. The record is from RNAcentral.